CAGUCGCCGCGGGAACACGGAGGGAGCUAGCGUUGUUCGGAAUUACUGGGCGUAAAGCGCACGUAGGCGGCUUUGUAAGUCAGAGGUGAAAGCCUGGAGCUCAGCUCCAGAACUGCCUUUGAGACUGCAUCGCUCGAAUCCGGGAGAGGUGAGUGGAAUUCCGAGUGUAGAGGUGAAAUUCGUAGAUAUUCGGAAGAACACCAGUGGCGAAGGCGGCUCACUGGACCGGUAUUGACGCUGAGGUGCGAAAGCGUGGGGAGCAAACAGGAUUAGAUACCCCCGUAGUCCCUGUCUCUUAUAC
RNAcentral lists this ribosomal RNA (301 nucleotides) under uncultured bacterium. RNAcentral describes it as "partial 16S ribosomal RNA". It matches the Rfam family "Bacterial small subunit ribosomal RNA", at positions 509 to 807 of the family's 1533-position model. The record is from RNAcentral.